GCCACAUGAUGUUAACUGGAUGGAUUGAGCACAUUGUGCCAAGAUGACUCUUAUCUAUCACCCUUGACUGAUGGCU
Small nucleolar RNA from Hypanus sabinus (Atlantic stingray), 76 nucleotides. RefSeq annotates it as small nucleolar RNA SNORD83. The record is from RefSeq and is a predicted model, not a curated record. NCBI's taxonomy places the organism in Eukaryota, Metazoa, Chordata, Chondrichthyes, Myliobatiformes, Dasyatidae. The transcript has a single exon.